RNAcentral lists this ribosomal RNA (752 nucleotides) under uncultured bacterium. RNAcentral describes it as "bacterial SSU rRNA". It matches the Rfam family "Bacterial small subunit ribosomal RNA", at positions 56 to 804 of the family's 1533-position model. The record is from RNAcentral.
UGCAGUCGAACGGUAACAGGGAUUGCUUGCAAUCCGCUGACGAGUGGCGCACGGGUGCGUAACGCGUAUGCAAUCUGCCUUACACUGGGGGAUAGCCUUUAGAAAUGAAGAUUAAUACCCCAUAGUCUGUGAGUAUCACCUGGUAUUUACAGUAAAGGUUACGGUGUAAGAUGAGCAUGCGUCCUAUUAGUUAGUUGGUAAGGUAACGGCUUACCAAGACGACGAUAGGUAGGGGCCCUGAGAGGGGGAUCCCCCACACUGGUACUGAGACACGGACCAGACUCCUACGGGAGGCAGCAGUGAGGAAUAUUGGACAAUGGGCGAGAGCCUGAUCCAGCCAUGCCGCGUGCAGGAAGACUGCCCUAUGGGUUGUAAACUGCUUUUAUACAGGAAGAAACCUUUCCACGUGUGGAGAGCUGACGGUACUGUAUGAAUAAGCAUCGGCUAACUCCGUGCCAGCAGCCGCGGUAAUACGGAGGAUGCAAGCGUUAUCCGGAAUCAUUGGGUUUAAAGGGUCCGUAGGCGGGCAAUUAAGUCAGGGGUGAAAGUUUGCGGCUCAACCGUAAAAUUGCCUUUGAUACUGGUUGUCUUGAAUUAGUGUGAAGUGGUUAGAAUGAGUAGUGUAGCGGUGAAAUGCAUAGAUAUUACUCAGAAUACCGAUUGCGAAGGCAGAUCACUAACACUAUAUUGACGCUGAUGGACGAAAGCGUGGGGAGCGAACAGGAUUAGAUACCCUGGUAGUCCACGCCGUA